AGAAGAUAAAUAUGAGGAAGAAAUCAAGAUUCUUACUGAUAAACUCAAGGAGGCAGAGACCCGUGCUGAGUUUGCUGAGAGAUCGGUAGCCAAGCUGGAAAAGACAAUUGAUGACUUGGAAGGUAUGGAACCUGGAGUAGGGAUUGAAAUAGAGAAAUAUAGAGGAAGACUGCCCAUUAACCAUUAAUCUCUUUUUCUGUACACCAAAGGAAGUUGGUAGUGACUUGGCAUGUAUUAAUAUCAUGUGCACUGUCCUAUGCCACAGCUAGGCAAAGUGGGUCAAACUCUAGAAUUGGUUUUUUAAAUUUAAUCUUUUCCUUUAAGAAGACUUUACCAAAUAGUCUGCAAUUUGUACCCUUCCCUUUGAGGAGAAUGAUAAUGGCUGCAUUUACCUCCAAUUUAUUAGUCUUAAACCUUUAGUCUGUGGGUUUAAAUGGAAGCCAUGAUUUCAGAAGGGCAAGAUGUAUGUCAUUUCAUGGCUACUUUCCACAGUUCUUUUUGCCACUCGAGCUGUCGGGUAUUUAUCCAAUAAAUGAAGUUGUGGAAUAACCGUAUCUGAACAUUGACCAAUGUCAGGAGCUUUCUAAAUACUUUCUGUCCCUGCAAGUUGGUCACUGCCAUCCACCCUGACAAGGGAACGUACUCUUUGCUUUGAGAACUCUGAUGUAUGCUCCUUUGGUACACUCUCUUGGCAGAGUUGCAGGGGCAGCCUGUGGAGCAGAGGGGCCACUAAUAGGUUCACAUUUUGUAGGCAGAGAAGUGUCUGAAUAUGGAUAUAUACUCUCUCCCUUUGCUAUUUUUGUUCAAUUAAGUGUUAUCACUGCUAGGAAUUGGGUACCUGGAUGGGAGUGGUAUCCUCUUGAGUGCUU
This 869-nucleotide small RNA is filed under the name Pan troglodytes (chimpanzee). Its description in RNAcentral is "retained intron". The record is from RNAcentral. Lineage: Eukaryota; Metazoa; Chordata; Mammalia; Primates; Hominidae.